GUGAUUUGCUGCAGAGAGGGGACACAAAACUCAGGGCCCCGAGCAAUUGGUGGGAAACUAGAUCUCAAAGCAGAAAAUGAAAAGUCGAUCUGGGGGAAGAUUUUUAAAUAAGUGGGUCAGAGGGACGGAGAGGAGAUGAGGCGAUCAAUCUUAGCCCCCUGACAGCUCCCUCCGAGGGCAUCAAAGAAUUCGGCUCUUUGGGAAAGCAGAGGGAACAGCCGAAAUUCCACAUCCCUUUAAAAGGCCUGGGGGUGGGGGUGAUAGCAAAAGAGAAAGGUGAUUCCGGGAGAGUGGGGAAACAGAUGGGAAAUGGGGACAGAGGGAAGGACGCUGAGUUGGGUGGAAAGUUUGGAGAACUCCCACGGCUCUGGCCUCCCCUCCCCCUCCUCCUCUCCACCGCCCGGCAAGGAGGAGAAGGCUGGUUAGCAGAGAAAUGGCAACUCAGCCGGGAGCUGGAACUAGAACCUUUCUGUCAAUGUAACAGCCGCGUGGGUGGCGACCCAAUGGUGGUUGGGCUUCGGGUCACGUGACUACUUCUUUGUAGCUCCGGAAGAGAACUGUGAAGUUUAGGUUGCAUGGAAGAAGCAGAGAAUUGCAAAGGGAAAAAAAAUCAAGAUUUGGAGGAAUUACCCACAGAGAUGGAAGUCCGAGGGUGGCUGAUUGCUCUGUUCCCUUUGAUUUCUCCAAAAGAAGCAAAGAAGAGAGAAACUGGAUAACUGCUGGACUUUUCUACCAAGAGAUUCGAAAGUGCUUCCUGAAUGAGAACAUCUUUUCCCAGGGCAAAAAAGAAAGUCAACAGAGCAAUCAGAACAAUAUUAUUCUCUGGGUUGGAAACAGGGUACCUUGUUUACUGAAGUUUUCCAAGGCAAAAAAAAAAAAAAUCAUUGUUUUAAUGCAGACUCUUCAAACUGCAGAAAAAAUAAAUCUUCAAGCUGUCAUAGGAUUUUGUGUAUUUCUUCUAAAACUUCUGACUGCAUUUUUUUUUCUCCCUGUCUUCCCGCAUCUCUCACCAUCGCAUUUCAUAAAACCUCCAGAGUGACCCUGUCUUCUGACAUGUGAGUUUGGACUACUUAAAUCUCAUUCAGCCCAGCUGGUCAACUCCAAAGAAAACUAAAAAUAGGAAAAUAAAAUAAAAG
RNAcentral lists this long non-coding RNA (1136 nucleotides) under Ursus maritimus (polar bear). RNAcentral's name for it is "lncRNA (ENSUMAG00000015819.1)". The record is from RNAcentral. Lineage: Eukaryota; Metazoa; Chordata; Mammalia; Carnivora; Ursidae.